RNAcentral lists this ribosomal RNA (624 nucleotides) under Anopheles gambiae (African malaria mosquito). Its description in RNAcentral is "eukaryotic small subunit ribosomal RNA". It matches the Rfam family "Eukaryotic small subunit ribosomal RNA", at positions 4 to 605 of the family's 1831-position model. Lineage: Eukaryota; Metazoa; Arthropoda; Insecta; Diptera; Culicidae. The record is from RNAcentral.
CUGGUUGAUCCUACCAGUGAUAUACGCUCGUCUCAAAGGUUAAGCCAUGCAUGUCUAAGUACAAGCUUCCUAGAAAGUGAAACCGCAUAAGGCUCAGUAUAACAGCUAUAAUUUACAAGAUCCUCAUCCAAACAGUUACUUGGAUAACUGUGGAAAAGCCAGAGCUAAUACAUGCAUUAUGCCGGGACUGUUGGCCUCCGGGUCGGCGGAACUGGUGCACCUUAUUAGUUAAACCAAUCGCCUCCGGGCGCUUUGAGUUGAAAUCUGGAUAAGGAUGCCGAUCGUACGGUCGCUUGCGACUGACGACAGAUCUUUCAAAUGUCUGCCCUAUCAACUAUUGAUGGUAGUGUAGAGGACUACCAUGGUUGCGACGGGUAACGGGGAAUCAGGGUUCGAUUCCGGAGAGGGAGCCUGAGAAAUGGCUACCACAUCCAAGGAAGGCAGCAGGCGCGUAAAUUACCCAAUCCCGGCACGGGGAGGUAGUGACGAGAAAUAACAAUAUGGACCUCUCUAACGAUGGUCCAUAAUUGGAAUGAGUUGAGCAUAAAUCCUUUUGCAAGGAUCAAGUGGAGGGCAAGUCUGGUGCCAGCAGCCGCGGUAAUUCCAGCUCCACUAGCGUAUAUU